This 484-nucleotide ribosomal RNA is filed under the name uncultured bacterium. RNAcentral's name for it is "bacterial SSU rRNA". It matches the Rfam family "Bacterial small subunit ribosomal RNA", at positions 9 to 493 of the family's 1533-position model. The record is from RNAcentral.
GAGUUUGAACCUGGCUCAGGAUGAACGCUGGCGGCGUGCCUAACACAUGCAAGUCGAACGAAGCAUGCCGGAGGAAGUUUUCGGAUGGAAUCCGGGAUGACUGAGUGGCGGACGGGUGAGUAACGCGUGGGUAACCUGCCCUGUACAGGGGGACAACAGUUAGAAAUGACUGCUAAUACCGCAUAAGCGCACAGGACCGCAUGGUCCGGUGUGAAAAACUCCGGUGGUACAGGAUGGACCCGCGUCUGAUUAGGUAGUUGGCGGAGUAACGGCCCACCAAGCCGACGAUCAGUAGCCGACCUGAGAGGGUGACCGGCCACAUUGGGACUGAGACACGGCCCAAACUCCUACGGGAGGCAGCAGUGGGGAAUAUUGCACAAUGGGGGAAACCCUGAUGCAGCGACGCCGCGUGAGUGAAGAAGUAUUUCGGUAUGUAAAGCUCUAUCAGCAGGGAAGAAAGUGACGGUACCUGACUAAGAAGCCC